UGGAAAGAGGAUUCGUCCAAUUGAAGCAGAGGACAGUGGCGGACGGGUGAGUAACGCGUGAGGAACCUGCCUUUCAGAGGGGGACAACAGUUGGAAACGACUGCUAAUACCGCAUAGUAAGAAAGAUUCGCAUGUUUCUUUCUUGAAAGAUUUAUCGCUAUGAGAUGGACCCGCGUCUGAUUAGCUAGUUGGUAAGGUAACGGCUUACCAAGGCGACGAUCAGUAGCCGGACUGAGAGGUUGAACGGCCACAUUGGGACUGAGAGACGGUCCAAACUCC
RNAcentral lists this ribosomal RNA (279 nucleotides) under uncultured Eubacteriales bacterium. RNAcentral's name for it is "uncultured Clostridiales bacterium partial 16S ribosomal RNA". It matches the Rfam family "Bacterial small subunit ribosomal RNA", at positions 61 to 339 of the family's 1533-position model. RNAcentral also lists the same sequence under 1 other name. The record is from RNAcentral. Lineage: Bacteria; Bacillati; Bacillota; Clostridia; Eubacteriales.